Molecule: transfer RNA, 58 nt
Filed under: Felis catus (domestic cat)
Lineage: Eukaryota; Metazoa; Chordata; Mammalia; Carnivora; Felidae
Also listed under: 4 other names
Rfam family: tRNA
About the family: Transfer RNA (tRNA) molecules are approximately 80 nucleotides in length. Their secondary structure includes four short double-helical elements and three loops (D, anti-codon, and T loops).
Source: Rfam by way of RNAcentral
UGGCUCAGUUGGUAGAGCAUGAGACUCUUGAUCUCAGGGUUGUGAGUUUGAGCCCCAU